This 478-nucleotide ribosomal RNA is filed under the name uncultured bacterium. RNAcentral's name for it is "bacterial SSU rRNA". It matches the Rfam family "Bacterial small subunit ribosomal RNA", at positions 28 to 507 of the family's 1533-position model. The record is from RNAcentral.
GACGAACGCUGGCGGCGUGCUUAACACAUGCAAGUCGAACGGGGCGAAGUGAUAGCUUGCUAUUAUGGAGCCUAGUGGCAAACGGGUGAGUAACGCGUAGGCAACCUGCCCUUCAGAUGGGGACAACACCUCGAAAGGGGUGCUAAUACCGAAUGACGUUUCCUGGUCGCAUGACCUGGAAACCAAAGGCCGGGCAACCGGUCACUGAAGGAUGGGCCUGCGUCUGAUUAGCUAGUUGGUAGGGUAACGGCCUACCAAGGCGACGAUCAGUAGCCGGACUGAGAGGUUGACCGGCCACAUUGGGACUGAGAUACGGCCCAGACUCCUACGGGAGGCAGCAGUGGGGAAUAUUGGGCAAUGGGCGCAAGCCUGACCCAGCAACGCCGCGUGAAGGAAGAAGGCUUUCGGGUUGUAAACUUCUUUUGUCAGGGAAGAGUAGAAGACUGUACCUGGCGAAUAAGCCACGGCUAACUACGUG